UUUUUUGUUUUUUGUUUUUUGUCUUUUUGCUAUUUCUUUGGGCCGCUUCUGGGGCAUAUGGAGGUUCCCAGGCUAGGGGUUGAAUCGGAGCUGUAGCCGCCGGCCUACGCCAGAGCCACAGCAACGCGGGGUCCGAGCUGCGUCUGUAACCUACACCCCAGCUCGCGGCAACGCCAGAUCGUUAACCCACUGAGCAAGGGCAGGGACCAAACCCGCAACCUCAUGGUUCCUAGUCGGAUUUGUUAACCACUGCGCCACCACGGGAACUCCUGGAGAGUUCUUUUUUAAUUGUAAAUGGAUGUUGAAUAGAGUAAUCGUCUAAAUUUAAAUAGGAUUAUGUCACCCUCUGCUUUAACUUUCUAUUAGCUUUAGUUGUAUUUAAAAUUUGAACUCCCUUACUCUUGUUCUGAGCUGAAAAGAAUAAACCCUUUCUCUUCAAGUUCGUCUCAUGACACUUUUCCAUUUGCUCCCACUUUUCUUGUGAAAGUAAUCCCUGCUGAUCUUCAAAGCUGAUAUUCUAGGGGCUUGUCUUCUUGGUGUAGGAGGCCUGGUCUGGGCACCCAGUGUGAGACUUAGACCUCUAACUUCUUGGGAAUAAUCUCUGUAGUUGUGAUUAUCCUCCCUUUGUGGGUUGCCUGUUUGGGGAUAUGGAUCUUGACUGUACCAUGACACCACCCAUCCGACCUAUCUUGUUGUUCUUUCUUUUUAUCUUUAGUAGAAAAAUGUUUUCUGCUAAAUCAUUCAGUGUUUCUCAUCAAUAGUUGCUCGUAAAUAGUUGUAAUUUUGGUGUGCUUGUUAGGGGAGGUGAGCUAAGGGUGUUCUUACUCCACUACCUUGGCUAAAUUAAGCCAUUGUGUUAUCUGUUGUAAAACCCAGAAGAUAUAUCUUUAGCUUGUUACCUAGCAUCAGUUGCACACUUAUAUCACUAUUAACUUGUGAAUAAUUAUAAUUACUUAUUAAAAGUUCUUAUAAAUCAUGAAAGUCAUUCUUUAGUUACAAAUAAAAAAUAUUGUUCCUAUGAUCUAAUAUCAGAUGUUUUGUAAUUCUAAAGCUCAGAAAAGGGAAGAGCUAGCCCUGCUAUUUCAGAUCUUUCACAGAUCCUCAAGUCUCAAGAUGAAUCACCUUUUUUAAAGAGUUCAAAUGAAGCUUUAACUGAUGAAGAUAUAUCCUAUAUACUUUCAUCAAAGACCAAUGAUAAAUCAAUUGCUGCAAUAUUAUUGAGCAAAGAAAUUCAAGAUUCACAGUCUGUUGAAACAUUACUUCAAGGGAAUGAAACAGUGACAGCACCAUCCAUCUUACCCCCCGUUACUAAAAGAAAGCCUCUGGGUACAGACAUCUCAAAGGCUCGUAUUUUAGAGAAUUUACGAAGCAAGGUUGAAACACAAACUUACCAAGAAAUAAGAGAAUUCCAAGGUAAAAAGAUUUUGUUUUAUAAGAUUAAAAUGUUAAUGGUUGUGUGUUCCCAUGUUAUAACUAAAGUAAAUGAAGUGAGAACAUUACCAAAUGUACAAUAACUUCUUAAACAGCCAUGAUAAUAUAUAAAAUAUAAAAAUAUUAUAAAUGUAUAAAUAUGUAAAAAUUAAUUUAUGAAGUUAACAUAUUAGUCUGUCUCAACUAAAAACUUGUUUAAAAGGGGAGUUCUCAUUGUGGCUCAGCAGUAAUGAACUCAACUAGUAACCAUGAUGAUGUUUUGAUCCUUGGCCUUGUUCAGUAGGUUGAGGAUCAGGCAUUGCUGUGAGCUAUUCAUUUCUAUUUUCAUUCCAUGUUUUCUGUUCCUUUGUUGUAAGUUAAUUUCCGUAUAUUUGUGGGUUUAUUUCUGGCCUCUAUUUGGUUUCAUUUUUCUUUUUUUGUGGGGGGAAGGUGGUCCUGCCCAUAUCAUGCUGCUUGAUUAGUAUACCUUUAUAAUAUAGUUUGGAAUCAGGAAUGUGAUACCUCAAGCUUUCUCUUUUCUCAGAAUUAUUUUGGAUAAUUGAGAUAUUUUGGAGUUCCAUGUAAAUUUUAGGAUUUCUGUUUUUAUUUCUGUGAAAAAUGUCAUUGAGGUUUUGGUAGGGCAAAUAUGUAGAUUGCUUUAGGUACUAUGAACAUUUAACAGUUUACUCUUCCAAUCCAUGAGCAUGAGGUUUAUUUUCCAUCUUUGUGUCCCUGCCAUUUCUUUCAUCAAUGUCUUAUAUUUUUCAAUGUGUUAGUCCUUCACUUUUUAUUCCUAGGUAUUUUAUUCUUUUUGUUGCGGUUGUACAUGGAGUAAGUUCUCUUAGUUUCUCUUUCUGCUUAGUGUAUAGAAAUGCAUCAGAUUUUUGUAUAUUGAUUUUGUACUUUGUAACUUUACUGUAUUUGUUUUGUUUAUUAUGUCGAAUAUUUUUGGUGGAGUCUUUAGGGUUUUCUGUGUAUCAAAACAUGAAAUCUGAAAAUUAUGCCAGUUUUACUUCCUCCUUUCCAAUAUGAAUGUCUUUUACUUCUUUUUCUUGCUUAAUUGCUCUGGCUCUUCCAAUACUAUAUUGAAUAAGAGUGGUAAGGGUGGGCAUCCCUGUUGUGUUCUGAAUCUUAGAGGGAUAGCUUUAAAUAUUUCAUCAUUGAGUAUGGAGUAUGAUGACAGCUGUGGGGUUGUCAGGGCAUUUAUUAUGUUGAAGUAUGUUUCUUCUCCACCCAUUUUAUUGAAAUUUUUUUAUCAUAAUGAGUAUUUCAAUUUGUCAGCUGCUUUCUUUGCAGUUGAAAUGUUCGUGAUUUUUGUCCUUUGUUAAUGUGGUAUAUUACAUUUAUUGAUUUCAUAUCUUUAACCAUCCUCACAUCCCAAGGAUAAAUCCCCCAAGACUGUGGUGUAUAAUCCAUUUAAUAUGCUCUUGAUUUCAAUUUGCUAGUAUUUUCUUGAGAAUUUUUAUAUUUAUCAUGGCCAUUGGCCUAUAAUUAACUUUUUUUUGUAGUAUCCUUGUGUGGCUUCAGAAUGCAAGUAAUAUUGAAAUGCAAAAACAAAUGAGUUUUCAAGAGUUCUUUCCUUUUCAGUUUUUGGAAGAAUUUGGAAGGCUUGGUAUUAAUUCUUUUUUAAUGCUUGAUAGAAUUCACAAGUAAAGCCUUCUGGUCCUGGAAUUUUAUUUGUUGGGAGACUUUUGAUUACCAAUUUAAUAUUCUAUCUCAUUAUUAAUCUGUUCAGAUUUUUUAGUACGUCGUGAUUCAGUCUUUGUAAGCUGUAUGUUUCUAGGAAUUUAUUUCUUCUAAGUUAUCUAGGCUUUUGGAUAAAAUUGUUUAUAUUAUUUUCCUAUGGUCCUCAUAUUUCUUGGUAUAAGUUAUGCCUUUUCUUUUGUUUAUAACUUUUGAGUCAUCUAUCUUUUUCUCUUGGCUAGUCUAAAUAAAUAUUUGGCAGUUUUGUUUAUCUUUCCUAAAACUAGCUCUUUAACUUUUUUGGUCUUUUAUAAUGUCUUCAUAGUCUCUAAUUAUUUCCUUCUUCCUGCUAACUUUGGAUUAGUUUGUUCUUUAUAGUUCUUUGAGUAAUAAAGUUGUUUAUUUGAGGUAUUGUUUCUCAUCAGAGGCAUUUAUUGCUAUAAACUACCCCCUUAAAAUUGUUUUUGCUCCAUUCCAUAAGUUUUGUUACAUUUCCAUUUUCAUUUUUCUCAACAUUUUUGCUAUCCCAUGUCAUUUUUUCUUACAUUCAUUUAUUUUUCAGAAGUAUGUUAUUUAAUUUCUUUUUUUUUUAUUUUUUAUUUUUUUUUAAUUUUAUUUUUUUAUUUUCCCACUGUACA
This 3731-nucleotide long non-coding RNA is filed under the name Sus scrofa (pig). RNAcentral's name for it is "lncRNA (ENSSSCG00030037099.1)". Lineage: Eukaryota; Metazoa; Chordata; Mammalia; Artiodactyla; Suidae. The record is from RNAcentral.